AACGCGAAGAACCUUACCUAGACUUGACAUCUCCUGCAUUACUCUUAAUCGAGGAAGUCCCUUCGGGGACAGGAUGACAGGUGGUGCAUGGUUGUCGUCAGCUCGUGUCGUGAGAUGUUGGGUUAAGUCCCGCAACGAGCGCAACCCUUAUCUUCAGUAGCCAGCAUUUAAGGUGGGCACUCUGGAGAGACUGCCAGGGAUAACCUGGAGGAAGGUGGGGAUGACGUCAAAUCAUCAUGCCCCUUAUGACCAGGGCUACACACGUGCUACAAUGGCUGUUACAGCGUGGUGCAAUACUGUAAAGUAAAGCGAAUCACUGAAAGACAGUCUCAGUUCGGAUUGAGGUCUGCAACCCGACCUCAUGAAGCUGGAAUCGCUAGUAAUCGCGGAUCAGCAUGCCGCGGUGAAUACGUUCUCGGGUCUUGUACACACCG
RNAcentral lists this ribosomal RNA (434 nucleotides) under uncultured Clostridium sp. RNAcentral's name for it is "bacterial SSU rRNA". It matches the Rfam family "Bacterial small subunit ribosomal RNA", at positions 958 to 1392 of the family's 1533-position model. The record is from RNAcentral. Lineage: Bacteria; Bacillati; Bacillota; Clostridia; Eubacteriales; Clostridiaceae.